GCAAAGAUACAAGUGAAGAUUUUGUAUGAAUUUGUGAUUGUUUCGAAGAUCAUUAGCUGUGUGGUAUUGAUUUAUAAGUUUUAAUUGUCUACCAGGUCGGCUCCUUUUCUAUGGAGAAACUUCUUAAAAUCUUAUAUGAUAUUACUCAACAUUUUAAGACAAGUAAAUCUCGGUAUGACGGGCAGAGAUCUCAUGUGCUGGCUCCAGCUCACACACAGGAAUGCUGGACUAGAGUUCAUUAAGCAUGUUUACAGGAUUCGGGGCUGCAGUUCCUCAUAGACCUGCUGAAGAUGUAGGUCUACAAACUGGUGGAUCCUUACUCUGUUGCCAAAUUUAUACAAACUGGUGGAUCCUUCAUGAACUAUUACAUCUUUCACGGAGGAGCAAAUUUUGGAAGGACAGCAGGUAGUCCUUUCACAGCAACUAGUUAUGACUAUGAUGCCCUAAUUGAUGAAUAUGGAGUAGAAGUCACUGACAAUCCAAGUUACAAGUUAUUUGGGACUCUACAUACACUACUUUGGUUUGAGGAAAAAGUCGUAGGUUUGUUCCAUACCGGGGAACCAAGACAACAGGAACAAAGGAAGGACUUUGCUUUUUGUCGAUCCCAGUCGAUUGUUACUUUCUGCAUUCACAAGUAAAAACAGAAACUAAAACGGUUAUAAAUAUUCUAGGAAAUGAAAAGCUAAUUUGCAAGAUAUCUCAUGUUGUAGCUUUCACAUGGUCAUCUUUUAUGUUAGUCUCACUCGCUAGACGACGCUGCUAUAUGUCAGGAUGCCGCUUAUACAGUUCAGACAAUGAGAAUAAAGGAUUACAAGGGAGCCCAAAUAUAGUCAUUUGAGAGAUCUUCAUAAAGCGAGCAAGCUUUGUGAACCAGCUUUAGUUUAUUCCGAACCCAUCAAAUAAUUCUUGGGAGCAAGCAAGAGGCUUAUGUCUUCAAUUACCAGGCAGGAGGUUGUGCUGCAUUCCUUGCAAACAAUGAUGCAAACUCCGAUAACUGUUCCUUCAGAGGCUUAAAUUACCACCUUCCUCCUUGGUCUAUCAGCAAUCUUCCGGACUACGGAAACACUGUUUUUUAACACUGCAAGGGCCAGAUUCCAACUAUAGCUCAGUUUCACGACUACUCAUAUCCCUUAAUUAUCUGGCAAGCAAAUUUAAUUAGGCAAAAGCACUGCUUAUAGGAGUUUGGAUAACCCUGAAGUGACAUCUAGUAACAAUGUGAAGUUCAUAGUUGGCAUUAACAAGAUUGCCCUGAAUGUGGGCAAACAAUCUGGGACAUGGGAUGCGGGGGUUCUUGGUCCAGUCACAUUGACGGGUCUCAAUGGCAAACAAAGAGAUUUAACAUGCAAAAAUGUUCCUACAAGGUUUUUCUUAUGUCUUCUCCCUGCUUUGAUUUCAGGACAUUGUCAUAAAAAUGUUUAACAUCAAGGAUGAAUUGGGGGCCGUGGAAACUAAUUGGGAGCCAUGACACAUUUUAUACCCACACCAAAAGAAAUAUGGGGCUUCUAAAAUGAUGGUUGGUUUUACUGGUGAAGCUUUGAAUCUUAAUUCGCUCAGUGAAACUUCCUCAGUCGAGUGGAUGAAAGGAUCUUUGAUAGCUCGAAAUCAACCCCUAAUACAAGGUGAAUUUGGGUGGCCUGAUGUAGAACGAAGGUCCCAGAUAUCCAAAAUUCAUACUAGAACUGUGAACUUGACAUUAUGUUUGAACUCUUGGCCCGCCUUUGCCCAAAUCCACUGGAGCUGAUAUCUGUAGUGCGAAUACCAAGGCUGGAGUGGAGUGUAUGCAAUUCGUGCACGUAGGAAAAGCGUGACAGAGGACUUCCUUGAUGCUGCCAACAAGGUCAUCAAGGGUUACAAAAAAUUCAGUGCGACACCGAAGUACAUGUGGUACAAUUGAAGAAUUCUGAUGGCUAUAGACGAUGAUGAUAAGUAGUAGUUUACGGAAGAGGUACUCGGAUGGGGCAAUGAUCAUGUGUUGUUUCUUUUCUUGAGAUUUAUGUAUCUAGGAGUUAUAUUUUGGGCCGGGUCUGAUCCUGCAUUCCAUCUCAACUUUGAAGAUGCUACCAUCUUCGUUUCUGGAAAAAUGCUACUUUCACUUUUUCAGUUUGGCCUAUAUGUUAUGGCUCCUCUCUUAAUUUGCUUCACUUAUACUGAUUUUACCCGUCUCAAGAUGUACAAGGUUUUCUAUUUUAUUCACACGGUUUGUCAGAACAUUAAGGAAUGAAGCCACUUUAUAGACUUGAAAAUGUACCUAAAUUUCAUUUUAUUUGCAUCAUUUGUUUAUUGAA
Long non-coding RNA from Papaver somniferum (opium poppy), 2285 nucleotides. RefSeq lists it as uncharacterized. The transcript has 10 exons. Lineage: Eukaryota; Viridiplantae; Streptophyta; Magnoliopsida; Ranunculales; Papaveraceae. The record is from RefSeq and is a predicted model, not a curated record.